AGCUCCAAUAGCGUAUAUUAAAGUUGUUGCAGUUAAAAGCUCGUAGUCGGAUUUCGGGGCGUCCCCGACCGGUCUGCCGAUGGGUAUGCACUGGUUGGGGGGUCCUUCUUUCCGGAGACCGCGCCUCCUCUUAACUGAGCGGGCGCGGGAGACGGAUCGUUUACUUUGAAAAAUCAGAGUGUUUCAAGCAGGCAGCUCGCUCUUGCAUGGAUUAGCAUGGGAUAAUGAAAUAGGACUCUGGUGCUAUUUUGUUGGUUUCGAACACCGGAGUAAUGAUUAACAGGGACAGUCAGGGGCACUCGUAUUCCGUCGAGAGAGGUGAAAUUCUCAGACCAAUGGAAGACGAACCACUGCGAAAGCAUUUGCCAGGGAUGUUUCACU
This 381-nucleotide ribosomal RNA is filed under the name uncultured eukaryote. RNAcentral's name for it is "SSU rRNA". It matches the Rfam family "Eukaryotic small subunit ribosomal RNA", at positions 587 to 973 of the family's 1831-position model. The record is from RNAcentral.